This is a long non-coding RNA of Hippocampus comes (tiger tail seahorse), 124 nucleotides long. RefSeq lists it as uncharacterized. Lineage: Eukaryota; Metazoa; Chordata; Actinopteri; Syngnathiformes; Syngnathidae. The transcript has 3 exons. The record is from RefSeq and is a predicted model, not a curated record.
CUCCCUGGGCGAGCAGCCUCCGGAGCUCUCGGUAGGCUGGGAAAAAUCGAGCCCAAAUGGCCUGGAAAAGAUUCAUUCAAGUACGGUAAGGGAAGUCUUUUUGAUUUUUUUUUUUUUUGGUGGG